Long non-coding RNA from Dromiciops gliroides (monito del monte), 1054 nucleotides. RefSeq lists it as uncharacterized. The transcript is spliced from 2 exons. The record is from RefSeq and is a predicted model, not a curated record. Lineage: Eukaryota; Metazoa; Chordata; Mammalia; Microbiotheria; Microbiotheriidae.
GCAGGGAGAAGGAGGAGGAGGAGGAGGAGAGGAAAAAAGGAAGAGGAGGGAGCAGUGGUCCUAGGAAGAGGAGGAAGAAUACUGUGCUCCGUAUGGCAGUGAAAGGCCCAGGCGGAGGCCCAGACUUGGUGCAAAGGCAGGAUAGGAUCAUCGGCAGCUGAGGCCUGUACACCGUGCUCUGGACUGGAAACUGGGCGGUCAAGGUUAGCUGGCUGUGGAGCCUAAGCUCCGCCGCCGCCGACACUGCCGCUGCUGCUGCUGCUGCCGCUGCAGCCGCUGCCGCCGACUUCGAAAACUCCCUCUGACUUGGACCUGUGCCACUGUGGUCCCGGCAACGGCAUUAAACAGAAGGAAACAGACUGGGGAUUCCGUCAUUUCAAGAGGAGGAGAGAGAGAGGGAGAAAGGAAAGCAUUGAGAGCAGACAGGAAAGAAAGUUUUUUUUUAAAUUAUUAUUUAUUAAUUUUUUUUUUUACCAAAAGCUCUCACCAUUCCAAUAUCUGCUUACUCUCUAGCCUCUUCUAACAACAUAAGGGUGGGCUAACUGUGAGAGUUGACCAGAGAGCAGAGAGAAGGAGAAAGAAGAUGGAAAUUCUUCAUGCAAAGUCAUUCAAAUUACUCUGUUGUCAUUAAGACUGAAAAACAGCCGAAAAUCCCAAUGGAUUUGAUGCUUAAGGAGGGUGGUAAGAAGGUUUUGCUGCCCUGCUGCCCCCUAGCGGCGUAUUCAAUUUGGUCACCUUACGGAUUUGCCUGCCUCCUGGUGGCAUUAAAUCUUUCCACUGGCUAUUCUGCCAAAGAUGAAGAGUAGGGGCAGAAUCCUGUGCAAACUGUUCUUCAUUAGAGGGGGAAUGAUAUUUAUAUCUGAUAUGAAACUGGUAUAUUCAUAAAGUUUUAAAUUGUAUGAUACAUAAACAACAACAACAACAAAAAUCAAUAAAUGUAAACCCCCAAGGACAGAAGACAUGUUACACAUGAUGUGAUUUUCAACAUCUAUUAGCAGUCCUUCAAUCAAACAUAAUUCAUAUUAUUGAAAUAAAGAAUUUUCAGAUUUCUCUA